CUCCAAAACGCAGAACCCUCAGACCCCUGUCGCUCCUCUCUCUUCUCUAUUUCUCUACCCUCUCCUUCCCAAAAACCCAACACUGAAAAUCAAUCUCACCAGGAAGCCAUCCCCAUGCUGUUUGGUCCGAAAUCGAAAGAAGGCAUCAUUGAUCUUUCCAUGGUGCUACUCACAAGGACCGAUCUCCACCUUUGAGCACUGACGAUAGCCAUCAAAAUUGGGCAGAUUACAUCAGAUGGUUGAAUUAGAACUUUGUUUCAGAAAAUUAGGAUCCGAAGACCCUCACACAGAUGAUGAAACCUUUGGAUUGGUGAUCUCUUCAAGCCUCACAAAACCUUGAUACAAUGCAAGGUUAGUUUUUCAAAGACCAAUUUAUCCGAAGAUUAAAUACACAUAAAAACCACAUUGAACAGGUUAAAAUGUACCCACAAAGUAGUAUAACAAGUGUUGAGGUGCAAAUUAACACAAAAUAUCCUGGAAAAACUUGCAAGAUCAAAUAAUAAGGUGCUAUUUGGUUAGAAAAAUGUUGUAUUCAAUUUUCAUCUUCAUUUUUGUGUUUUCAUUUUUUGAAUAUGAAUGCACAAUAAAGGACCCAUUUUCACAUUCAUUUUCUAUACAUACCAGCUAACCUUUGAGCUCUCUCUCCGCUUUGUUUUAGGUCCUUCUGCUUCCCCUUUCUCUCUUUAUUCCUCAAACCUCUCCCUUACAAGCCAUCCCCAUUCGCUCAUAGGUUACACUUACAUCAUUAGUUGAAGGAGUGGUGUUCCUUUGCAAAGCAGCCAACAAAUAUAAAGUUAUCAACUUCAUUUUCUUUUGUUCUUCCAUGAAGAUGAGGGUGAUGCAUGUUCACAAAGCUUGAUAUGCAGGUUUGAAGAAAAGAGAUGACUAUAUGAGAUUGUAGAAGGAGAAUGUUUGGAUCUAGAUUGUCAUAGCAUUGAGCAACCUUGAUAGCUAUUGCGGUUGCUAUUGACUUCUAUGUAAAUUAAAUGCCUACAACAAAUAGAGAUGUGGCAAUAGUGUUUAUUGGAAUUCUUUUGACAGUAUUUGAUCUACAAAAUACAUUAGAGUGAAAAGUGAAUUUAUGUAGUGAGACUGAUUUACAAUUACUAUGAAGUGUGUUUUCAUUGUUUCAAAAUUGAAUUUGGAUUUUGACUUUGAGCCAAGUAAACAUACAAAGGUUGCAAUCCUUUGCAAAUA
Molecule: long non-coding RNA, 1197 nt
Organism: Quercus robur (English oak)
Lineage: Eukaryota; Viridiplantae; Streptophyta; Magnoliopsida; Fagales; Fagaceae
Exons: 2
Source: RefSeq, a predicted model, not a curated record